Molecule: long non-coding RNA, 629 nt
Organism: Folsomia candida
Lineage: Eukaryota; Metazoa; Arthropoda; Collembola; Entomobryomorpha; Isotomidae
Exons: 2
Source: RefSeq, a predicted model, not a curated record
CCAUUUCGGCUUCUCGACGGUUCACCAUCUCACUGCCGCCACCAGUCUCCUCCCCCUGCAAAGAAAAUCAGCUUGUUAGAUUUAAUUACAUAUUUUCACGGUCAGUGCAUCCUUCAGUUCGUGUUUUUUCCUAUUAACCAAAACCUGGAAAUCCGGCAAACCGGAGGAGGAUAAAAUCUUAUCUUAUCUGGGCAACCAAACACUACUCGUCUCUCCCCCAUUUCAGCUUUGAGCAGAAAAUGGGACAAGAUUUCUAUCGCUGGUGCCAAAGAGUAGAAUGAAACGAGGGAAAAAUCUUUUUAAAAUCACAUUAGAAUCAAGCACCCUUUCUUCCAACUUUCUCUCACUCGGUCUCUUCUUCGUCCUUCCUGAAAAAAAGCGCGUGAGACUGGCCCAUCCGGAUUCAGAAUUCCGUCACUUCUCUCUCGAGCUCGUAGGAGGCUGAGGACGGAAGAAAGAGGACAUUCCAUACAUUGAUUGUGCAAAAUUACCCAUUUCCCAGCCUCGUUGACUUUGGACUUUGUGACACGAUGUAGAACUGGGAAUUUAUUUAGGAAAAAUAUGACUUCAUAAAAUUCUAUUGCCUGCCAAUCUUCUACCCUUUCUCUGAAAAUAAAGGUUCUUUUGAG